RNAcentral lists this ribosomal RNA (428 nucleotides) under Actinomycetes bacterium. RNAcentral describes it as "Actinobacteria bacterium partial 16S ribosomal RNA". It matches the Rfam family "Bacterial small subunit ribosomal RNA", at positions 355 to 776 of the family's 1533-position model. The record is from RNAcentral. Lineage: Bacteria; Bacillati; Actinomycetota; Actinomycetes.
UAGGGAAUCUUCUGCAAUGGGCGAAAGCCUGACGGAGCAACGCCGCGUGAGUGAUGAAGGUCUUCGGAUCGUAAAACUCUGUUAUUAGGGGAGAACAAAUGUGUAAGUAACUAUGCACGUCUUGACGGUACCUAAUCAGAAAGCCACGGCUAACUACGUGCCAGCAGCCGCGGUAAUACGUAGGUGGCAAGCGUUAUCCGGAAUCAUUGGGCGUAAAGGGUACGUAGGCGGAUAAGCAAGUUAGAAGUGAAAUCCUAUAGCUCAACUAUAGUAAGCUUUUAAAACUGCUCAUCUUGAGGUAUGGAAGGGAAAGUGGAAUUCCUAGUGUAGCGGUGAAAUGCGCAGAUAUUAGGAGGAAUACCGGUGGCGAAGGCGACUUUCUGGCCAUAAACUGACGCUGAGGUACGAAAGCGUGGGUAGCAAACAGG